CCUACGGGAGGCAGCAGUGAGGAAUAUUGGUCAAUGGUCGGGAGACUGAACCAGCCAAGCCGCGUGAGGGAUGAAGGUACAGAGUAUCGUAAACCUCUUUUGUCAGGGAACAAAGGCGGGGACGUGUCCCCGGAUGAGUGUACCUGAAGAAAAAGCAUCGGCUAACUCCGUGCCAGCAGCCGCGGUAAUACGGAGGAUGCGAGCGUUAUCCGGAUUUAUUGGGGUUAAAGGGUGCGCAGGCGGUCUGUUAAGUCAGCGGUCAAAGCCCGGGGCUCAACCCCGGCCCGCCGUUGAAACUGGCAGUCGCGAGUUGGAGAGAAGUAUGCGGAAUGCGCGGUGUAGCGGUGAAAUGCAUAGAUAUCGCGCAGAACUCCGAUUGCGAAGGCAGCAUGCCGGCUCCACACUGACGCUGAGGCACGAAAGCGUGGGUAUCGAACAGGAUUAGAUACCCGUGUAGUC
RNAcentral lists this ribosomal RNA (459 nucleotides) under uncultured bacterium. RNAcentral's name for it is "partial 16S ribosomal RNA". It matches the Rfam family "Bacterial small subunit ribosomal RNA", at positions 338 to 795 of the family's 1533-position model. The record is from RNAcentral.